UGGGGAAUAUUGCACAAUGGGCGCAAGCCUGAUGCAGCAAUGCCGCGUGUGUGAAGAAGGCCUGCGGGUUGUAAAGCACUUUCAGUAAGGAGGAAAAUCUCAAGGUUAAUAUCCUUGAGACUUGACGUUACUUACAGAAGAAGCACCGGCUAACUCCGUGCCAGCAGCCGCGGUAAUACGGAGGGUGCGAGCGUUAAUCGGAAUUACUGGGCGUAAAGCGUGCGUAGGCGGCAUGGUCAGUCGGAUGUGAAAGCCCCGGGCUCAACCUGGGAAUUGCAUUCGAUACUGCCAAGCUAGAGUAUGUUAGAGGAAAGUGGAAUUCCCGGUGUAGCGGUGAAAUGCGUAGAUAUCGGGAGGAACAUCAAUGGCGAAGGCAACUUUCUGGAGCAAUACUGACGCUGAGGUACGAAAGCGUGGGGAGCAAACAGG
Molecule: ribosomal RNA, 429 nt
Filed under: uncultured bacterium
Lineage: Bacteria
Description: bacterial SSU rRNA
Rfam family: Bacterial small subunit ribosomal RNA
Source: RNAcentral